Molecule: long non-coding RNA, 676 nt
Filed under: Salvia miltiorrhiza (redroot sage)
Lineage: Eukaryota; Viridiplantae; Streptophyta; Magnoliopsida; Lamiales; Lamiaceae
Description: long non-coding RNA (SMIL_LNC009197)
Source: RNAcentral
GGGAACACUCUGGUAGGUAUUUUUCUUUGGAUAUAUAAGUUAUGUUUUCUAUCUAAGUUAUACACCUUGAAAAAGAGAGAGAGAGAGAGAGAGAAUUCCCCCGAAGAAGGUGGUAUUUCAGGUUAAAUUCGUAGAAUCAACCAUUUUUAUAAAUUUGAUUAACAACUCAAAAAUGUCUUGAAAAGAGUCUUGUUUAUUUCUUUCCCGGUACUUUUGUCUGUGUUAGUUCUUUUUGGUUUUUUUCCCUCAUACCAAUUUGGCAUUUUUUUACAGUGAAUGGUAAUGGAAAUGGAAUGAAUGGGCAGGUAUUACCCUUACUAAUUCUCUUGCAUUACUUAUAGAGAUUUAAUUGGAUAUUCACAGUCUACUAACACUACCAAAAAAAUUUCUUAAGAGCUUUUCUGCACCAUUUGAGUAAUGUCAGGUUGAUUUGCUACUGGAAAGUGGAGAAUAUUUCUUAAGUGAUUAGACGAAUCAAGCAAAGAAGUGGCAGGAGAAGCAAGAGAAACAAGCAGCUAAAGUGACUGAAACCAAAAGGAAACGAGAAGAGACAUUUUUAUGAUCAACAAUAUUUUUUUGGAUCUGAUGUAGGAUGUUUGUAUGAUGGAUACUUUUUCAAUGUAGGAUGAUAAUUAACUUUGAAACUAAUGAAUGACCUUUUUAUUAUUUGUGUAUA